RNAcentral lists this ribosomal RNA (269 nucleotides) under uncultured bacterium. Its description in RNAcentral is "partial 16S ribosomal RNA". It matches the Rfam family "Bacterial small subunit ribosomal RNA", at positions 524 to 791 of the family's 1533-position model. The record is from RNAcentral.
UACGUAGGGUGCGAGCAUUAAUCGGAAUUACUGGGCGUAAAGCGUGCGCAGGCGGUUUUGUAAGCCAGGUGUGAAAUCCCCGGGCUUAACCUGGGAAUGGCAUUUGGGACUGCAAGGCUUGAGUGCGGCAGAGGAGACUGGAAUUCCUGGUGUAGCAGUGAAAUGCGUAGAUAUCAGGAGGAACACCGAUGGCGAAGGCAGGUCUCUGGGCUGACACUGACACUGAGACCCGAAAGCGUGGGGAUCAAACAGACGUUAGGAAACCUAAG